Molecule: unclassified non-coding RNA, 332 nt
Filed under: soil metagenome
Description: partial contains 5.8S ribosomal RNA, internal transcribed spacer 2, and large subunit ribosomal RNA
Rfam family: 5.8S ribosomal RNA (bases 1-120)
Source: RNAcentral
GAUGAAGAACGCAGCAAAAUGCGAUAAGUAAUGUGAAUUGCAGAAUUCAGUGAAUCAUCGAAUCUUUGAACGCACAUUGCGCCCGGCAGUAUUCUGGCGGGCAUGCCUGUUCGAGCGUCAUUUCAACCCUCAAGCACAGCUUGGUGUUGGGACUCGCGUUAAUUCGCGUUCCCCAAAUUGAUUGGCGGUCACGUCGAGCUUCCAUAGCGUAGUAGUAAAACCCUCGUUACUGGUAAUCGUCGCGGCCACGCCGUUAAACCCCAACUUCUGAAUGUUGACCUCGGAUCAGGUAGGAAUACCCGCUGAACUUAAGCAUAUCAAUAAGCGGAGGA